RNAcentral lists this ribosomal RNA (549 nucleotides) under uncultured bacterium. RNAcentral's name for it is "bacterial SSU rRNA". It matches the Rfam family "Bacterial small subunit ribosomal RNA", at positions 355 to 896 of the family's 1533-position model. The record is from RNAcentral.
UGGGGAAUAUUGGACAAUGGGCGAAAGCCUGAUCCAGCCAUGCCGCGUGUGUGAAGAAGGCCUUUUGGUUGUAAAGCACUUUAAGUGGGGAGGAAAAGCUUGUGGUUAAUACCCAUAAGCCCUGACGUUACCCACAGAAUAAGCACCGGCUAACUCUGUGCCAGCAGCCGCGGUAAUACAGAGGGUGCAAGCGUUAAUCGGAAUUACUGGGCGUAAAGCGCGCGUAGGUGGUUAUUUAAGUCAGAUGUGAAAGCCCCGGGCUUAACCUGGGAACUGCAUCUGAUACUGGAUAACUAGAGUAGGUGAGAGGGGGGUAGAAUUCCAGGUGUAGCGGUGAAAUGCGUAGAGAUCUGGAGGAAUACCGAUGGCGAAGGCAGCUCCCUGGCAUCAUACUGACACUGAGGUGCGAAAGCGUGGGUAGCAAACAGGAUUAGAUACCCUGGUAGUCCACGCCGUAAACGAUGUCUACCAGUCGUUGGGUCUUUUAAAGACUUAGUGACGCAGUUAACGCAAUAAGUAGACCGCCUGGGGAGUACGGCCGCAAGGUUA